GCAUCUGCGGUAAUUCCAGCUCCAAUAGCGUAUAUUAAAGUUGUUGCAGUUAAAAAGCUCGUAGUUGAACUUCUGUACAGUCUCACUUCUGGCUUCGGUCAAGGUGUUGGCUGUGCAUCCGCUUGCAAAGCUGGUUCGGCCUUAACUGGUCGGCUAGUAGAGUAAGCCCUUUACUUUGAAAAAAAUUAGAGUGUUUCAGGCAGGCAAUGGCUCGAAUACAUUAGCAUGGAAUAAUGGAAUAGGACUUUUGUCCAUUUGGUUGGUUCUUGGACUUAAGUAAUGAUUAAAAGGGACAGUUGGGGGCAUUGGUAUUUAACAGUCAGAGGUGAAAUUCUUGGAUUUGUUAAAGACUAACUUAUGCGAAAGCAUUUGCCAAGGAUGUUUUCAUCGAUCAAGAACGAAAGU
This 405-nucleotide ribosomal RNA is filed under the name uncultured eukaryote. RNAcentral's name for it is "SSU rRNA". It matches the Rfam family "Eukaryotic small subunit ribosomal RNA", at positions 570 to 990 of the family's 1831-position model. The record is from RNAcentral.